AGAGAUAGGGAAGUGGUCGCUGGAUUAAGUGUCCAGAGGAAAGUCCGGACACCGCAGAGCAGGAUGCUGGUUAAAUACCAGGAAGCGUGAGCUUACGGAAAGUGCCACAGAAAAUACACAGCUCCCUGCUUUACUUUGUUAAAGCAGAAGUAAAGGUGAAAAGGUGCGGUAAGAGCGCACCAGGCUUCAGGGUGACUUGAAGUGCUAGGUAAACCCCAUCCGGUGCAAGACCAUGUAGGAGAGGAAAGAUUGCUCGUCUUGUUUGACUCUUGGGUAGGUCGCAAAGAUUGAUGACCACAUAAACAGAAUCCGGCUUAUCCCUAUCUCUAAUU
This 332-nucleotide RNase P RNA is filed under the name Desulfuromonas sp. SDB. RNAcentral describes it as "bacterial RNase P". It matches the Rfam family "Bacterial RNase P class A". From Rfam's summary of the family: Ribonuclease P (RNase P) is a ubiquitous endoribonuclease, found in archaea, bacteria and eukarya as well as chloroplasts and mitochondria. Its best characterised activity is the generation of mature 5'-ends of tRNAs by cleaving the 5'-leader elements of precursor-tRNAs. Lineage: Bacteria; Pseudomonadati; Thermodesulfobacteriota; Desulfuromonadia; Desulfuromonadales; Desulfuromonadaceae. The record is from RNAcentral.